UCACAAGACUAUUUCAGUUUGAGAGGAUGCAUGUAUUACAGGUGUAUUUUGAUAUACUUUUUUCUUUAACAGAUGUCUAAAGUAUUUAAGGGAUCCUAUCUGAGCCGCAAGUACAUUAGAUCCCACGUUGUCGCUCUAAGCCCAGAUCCUGGUGGAGUGCUUGUAUCUGUUGCUCUGGUAUUUAAAUUUGCCUCUGCUGACAGUAAGGCAACAAGCUGGAGUCAUGUCAACAGAGUGUUACGUAGAAGGCUUGAAACAAGCUCAACGUUCUUGAAUGUUGACCAGUCUACCAUUAAACUCACAGAAUUGAAUAAGGAGAACGGAGAUAACCUUAUAAACAANGAUUGCUGAGACAAGCCAGCUUCUGUCCACCGCUUUUGAAUGUGUCCACUUCUUGCUUCGUAUGAACAGCCCCUACCACAGCAUUUGCCAUGAAAGUGAUUUUUGGACUUGAGAUGAAAUAGUACUUUGUGUUCACACUAGUCUGUUGCUGUACGUAAAUAUCUGACUGAAUGAAAUUCCAUUUUAAAACUUCCCGGUUUGUAUUGUUUCUAAUAGAAGUCUUGAGCUUUUUGUGCAGGUUUGUAACAAUCUCAGGAUGAACAUUGCUAAAAACCAUCUCCAAAACCUGCUUAUUCUCAUGAAUGGUGUUCUCAAGCCUUACUAAUACAGAAAAGUUCAUGUGUAUCUCUUCAGUUGCAUUCAAAAAAAAAAAAAAAAAAUUGCCUUAGUGUUGUGGUGGAAAUACCUAUCUACAUGUCUACUUCAGAACAAAGAAUGACCCAUAAGUCAAAGUAAAGAUUUUUUUCCUGUCAGGAAUUAAUGCCUGUGUCUUAUUGCUAGACUAUAGAUAACCUGUCUGAUCCCAUAAACUUCAUAGUCUCUCUGCCUUCAUUUUCAGGAGCUGAUGUUUCUCAAACUUUCUAUACCCUAGAAGUGGAAUGUGCCUGUUCUUUUUGAGGAUGCCCUCCUUAAUGCAUCUGCAGAGUAUUUCCAAUGUUUUAUUCUGGUUGCUAAUACUGACAACAGUGAGUGAUCUUAAUUGCUAGAUGCAGGAGAUACUCAUUUGCUUUUGAUGGUUGGAAGAGGAACAACUCAGCAAAGGAAAUACUAGCCACACUGCUGAGACCCAGAGCUGAUCCAGUGUGGCAGACAAGCCAGGCCAGAAAAGACAAGCAAAGGAGCAGGCUUUCUGGCAUUUUCAUAGUUAAAAGAUCUGGGGAUAGGGGGCCCUCACUAAUUAUACUCUUGAAGUGUUGUCCAAAUUCAGUACAGGUCAGUCAACAUCAACCGGGUUAAUCCUAGGGAUCUUUGCAGCUUGCUUUAAGCCCUGCCCAACAGAGCAGCAACCCAUCAAGUUUAUGGAAUUACUUUAUUACACAUCCUCCACAUUACUCCCUGUGAUUUAGGUGCCUGUAAGCACAGUGAACCAUGCUUUGUCUUUACUGGAGGUGUGGGGUAUUUGGACACUCAGAAAAGAUUUGCAUGAGGGAAAAGGGUCUGAAGCUGUUGUUCUGUGCUUGUGUAUAUUGUGAAGACCCAGCAUUUAAAAUGUCCUCCUAGGGAGCUUUUUGUAUGGAAUGCUGUGUGAUCUAAAAAUAAAACUUGGGUGGCCUAAGUUUUAGGUAGGGAAUAAGAAGUAUCAAAGUGAUUCCGUAGGUUUGAGGCAGAGAAAUCCCAUUUUCGUCCCUUAAGCAGAACUUGGAUUUGAAUUAUAUUGCCUGUAUAUUAUGCAUGACAAAUGUAAGAAUUGUUUUUUUUGGCUGGUAACUAUACCUAGACAAUGAGUCACCUUGAAGAAAAGCAUUAUUAAGAGACUCCACGACUUUUCAGUUCCCAAAGCUCUUCAGACUUGGGUUUUCAAAGGACAAAUUUCACUGUAAUUUGGGAACAUAAUAUUUUUAGACCCGCAAAUCUCAGCUAUUUCACUGUUUUCCAAAAAACAGGUAAGUGGAUGUCCAAAGGAUUUCUUUUGAAUUUUUGAACUUUCUAGUUGCGCUUGAACAAAAUGAGAAAGCGUUAAGCGUUUUGCUAUGUGCAAAGGGCUUCUAUGAGUGUAAUCCUCCCAAGUAGUGCACGCAAAGCUGAAAAAGUGAACUUCAGUGUUUACUUUGAUUUUUCUGAUUCUGAGUAUCCAGGUGGAGAGAUCUAGUACGUGAUUCACCUUAAUGCUGAGCGCCAAUGCAGAGUAGCCAGGAGGGGGGGCUGUAGAUGAACAGGCACCUACACAGUGUGUGUUUUGGGAGCCUUUUUUUGGAUUCCAAUUUUCAUGAUAGCAGCUAGAACAAGCUUUCCUGUCUAGUUUCUCCUGGAAGCAAUGUGGGUUGCAUGCUCUGAGGCCUCUUGACUAUGCAAAGCAGUAAAAAUGAAAAUGCAAUAAGAUCACUUCAAAGAAUGUGCCUCAUCCACAGGAAUGCUGGUGCAGAUGGACCUGAUGGAUCCGAAUCCCUUUCUUAUGGCGAAAACACAAUGAUGUCAGCAUUGUCUAGCUUUUCCCGAGAGAAAUUGUGGAAACCUGAAAUAAUGUAGGCAGCAAAAAUUUUGUUUGCUUUAGGUGGCCUAGCAGAUAUGUAUUUUUUUCUAAGCUGAAGUCUUAAAUUUUUAUGAAAAGACAAGAUUUAUCUGUUUUCCACCAUGUUUUUGUUUGGAAUUAUCAUCAAGGUGGAAUGAGAUCCAUCUAACUGUACUAACAGACAUGGCACACAGGAAUGUAAUUUAUGUGUUAAUUUAAUAAAAAUAGUUAAAAAUAAUGUCUUCUCUUCCACUUAUUUGUUAAUUUCCUUUGUCAUGGCAAACAACUGUGAGCUAGGGUCUGAUCUGUUUUACAACGUUGCAGUGAUUCUGUACCAUGUACUUAUGUACUGGCUUUUAUGUGGUCCUUGAACAUCUGUCUUCAUUGGUGUGUUUGAGGAGUGUUGCUGUGCUCAUUUGUAAAGGGCUUAAUCCACCUGCCCUAAGGUUACCCAGUUUUUCAUGCAUUCAGGCAAAAGCAAGGUCUUGUGUCAGCC
This is a long non-coding RNA of Pavo cristatus (Indian peafowl), 3008 nucleotides long. The record is from Ensembl. NCBI's taxonomy places the organism in Eukaryota, Metazoa, Chordata, Aves, Galliformes, Phasianidae.